RNAcentral lists this transfer RNA (72 nucleotides) under Camelus bactrianus (Bactrian camel). It matches the Rfam family "tRNA". From Rfam's summary of the family: Transfer RNA (tRNA) molecules are approximately 80 nucleotides in length. Their secondary structure includes four short double-helical elements and three loops (D, anti-codon, and T loops). RNAcentral also lists the same sequence under 2 other names. Lineage: Eukaryota; Metazoa; Chordata; Mammalia; Artiodactyla; Camelidae. The record is from Rfam by way of RNAcentral.
GAGGGGAUAGCUCAGUGGCAGAGUGUGUGCUUGGCAUGCAUGAGAUCCCGGGUUCAAUCCCCAGUGCCUCCA